CAGCAGUUCAAGUUGCAUCCCUUUUUAUUGGGUCUAAAACAUCCGUAGCUUGCCAUUUAAGUCUCUUGUGAAAUCCUACGUCUCAAGCGUAGUGAAGUGCAGGAGAUACUGAAUGGCUAGAGAUCGGUAGACGUAAGGAGUACGCCGGAGGUAACGGUAAAAUGUGUUAAUCUUCGGUGGACUAACAAUCAGCGAAGGCACCUUACGAGGACGAAUCUGACAGUGAGGGACGAAAGCCAGGGGGGCAAACCGGAUUAGAUACCCGAGUAGUCC
RNAcentral lists this ribosomal RNA (273 nucleotides) under uncultured archaeon. RNAcentral describes it as "partial 16S ribosomal RNA". It matches the Rfam family "Archaeal small subunit ribosomal RNA", at positions 477 to 747 of the family's 1478-position model. The record is from RNAcentral.